RNAcentral lists this ribosomal RNA (801 nucleotides) under uncultured bacterium. Its description in RNAcentral is "bacterial SSU rRNA". It matches the Rfam family "Bacterial small subunit ribosomal RNA", at positions 66 to 860 of the family's 1533-position model. The record is from RNAcentral.
GCAGCACAGGGUAGCUUGCUAUCCGGGUGGCGAGUGGCGGACGGGUGAGUAACGCGUAGGAAUCUACCUUUUCGUGGGGGAUAACCCGGGGAAACCCGGGCUAAUACCGCAUACGCCCCAUGGGGGAAAGCGGGGGACCUUCGGGCCUCGCGCGGAAAGAUGAGCCUGCGUCCUAUCAGGUUGUUGGUGGGGUAAUGGCCUACCAAGCCUACGACGGGUAGCUGGUCUGAGAGGACGGCCAGCCACACUGGGACUGAGACACGGCCCAGACUCCUACGGGAGGCAGCAGUGGGGAAUUUUGGACAAUGGGGGCAACCCUGAUCCAGCCAUUCCGCGUGAGUGAAGAAGGCCUUCGGGUUGUAAAGCUCUUUCGGCAGGAACGAAACGGUGAGCUCUAACAUAGCUUGCUAAUGACGGUACCUGAAGAAGAAGCACCGGCUAACUACGUGCCAGCAGCCGCGGUAAUACGUAGGGUGCGAGUGUUAAUCGGAAUUACUGGGCGUAAAGCGUGCGCAGGCGGUUGUGUAAGACAGGUGUGAAAUCCCCGGGCUUAACCUGGGAACUGCGCUUGUGACUGCACAGCUAGAGUAUGGCAGAGGGGGGUGGAAUUCCACGUGUAGCAGUGAAAUGCGUAGAGAUGUGGAGGAACACCGAUGGCGAAGGCAGCCCCCUGGGCCAAUACUGACGCUCAUGCACGAAAGCGUGGGGAGCACACACGAUUAUAUACCCUGGUAGUCCACGCCCUAAACGAUGUCAACUGGUUGUUGGACGGCUUGCUGUUCAGUAACGAAGCUAACGCGU